This 442-nucleotide ribosomal RNA is filed under the name uncultured bacterium. Its description in RNAcentral is "partial 16S ribosomal RNA". It matches the Rfam family "Bacterial small subunit ribosomal RNA", at positions 338 to 795 of the family's 1533-position model. The record is from RNAcentral.
CCUACGGGAGGCUGCAGUGGGGAAUAUUGGGCAAUGGGCGCAAGCCUGACCCAGCAACGCCGCGUGAAGGAAGAAGGCUCUCGGGUUGUAAACUUCUUUUCUCAGGGACGAAGCAAGUGACGGUACCUGAAGAAAAAGCAUCGGCUAACUCCGUGCCAGCAGCCGCGGUAAUACGGAGGAUGCGAGCGUUAUCCGGAUUUAUUGGGUUUAAAGGGUGCGUAGGCGGAAUGCCAAGUCAGCGGUAAAAUCGCGGGGCUCAACCUCGCUCCGCCGUUGAAACUGGCGUUCUUGAGUGGGCGAGAAGUAUGCGGAAUGCGUGGUGUAGCGGUGAAAUGCAUAGAUAUCACGCAGAACUCCGAUUGCGAAGGCAGCAUACCGGCGCCCAACUGACGCUGAGGCACGAAAGCGUGGGGAUCGAACAGGAUUAGAUACCCUUGUAGUC